AGUGGGACCAAUAACUGUUAGGUGAGGUCUUCAUGACUUAGAGACCAAGUAGCACUGCAACAUGCUUGAGAAGCAUUGUACAAAAGUUGUACACUCAUCCAUUUAUGUAUCACCAAUAACUGUUAGGUGAGGUGGCAUGUAAAUCGGUGGGACCGCAGUACCCACUAGAAACCCUAGUCGUGUAGGAUUUUUGUUUUCCUACCAGGAGAGUGUGAGGAAUUCGUGAAAAUAGUGGAAGGUACAUUUGUUCUAAAAGAUCCUAGAACAGAUCAGGAUAAAGUACAAAAGUCUAACUAGAAUCUUUACUCUCUGCAGAUCAUAAUGUCAACCUCAAAC
RNAcentral lists this long non-coding RNA (336 nucleotides) under Phoenix dactylifera (date palm). RNAcentral's name for it is "long non-coding RNA (PDAC_LNC012849)". The record is from RNAcentral. Lineage: Eukaryota; Viridiplantae; Streptophyta; Magnoliopsida; Arecales; Arecaceae.